UUAAAGACAAAGAAAAGAUAAGUAAAUUUAAAGAGUAACUGAAAGAGAGCCGACGAAUUGGUGAAAGUUGGUGUUACGAAUAAGUUGAAAAUGGUCUUGGAGUCAUAGAAUGGGUGAGCAAGUAUGUAAAUUCAUUCCGGGUGUGCCCGAUAUAGCACAGAGUUUUGUUAAAAAACAGAACUUAAAGAGAAUAAUUUAGUGAUAGAUUAUUGAAUGCGAGUGGUAACACGAUUUUCGUCCCGCAA
Molecule: non-coding RNA, 245 nt
Filed under: Leuconostoc mesenteroides
Lineage: Bacteria; Bacillati; Bacillota; Bacilli; Lactobacillales; Lactobacillaceae
Description: T-box sequence
Rfam family: T-box leader
About the family: Uncharged tRNA acts as the effector for transcription antitermination of genes in the T-box leader family. T-boxes are found upstream of many aminoacyl-tRNA synthetase genes and some amino acid biosynthetic genes usually in Gram-positive bacteria.
Source: RNAcentral